This 460-nucleotide ribosomal RNA is filed under the name uncultured bacterium. RNAcentral's name for it is "partial 16S ribosomal RNA". It matches the Rfam family "Bacterial small subunit ribosomal RNA", at positions 338 to 795 of the family's 1533-position model. The record is from RNAcentral.
CCUACGGGAGGCAGCAGUGAGGAAUAUUGGUCAAUGGACGAGAGUCUGAACCAGCCAAGUAGCGUGAAGGAUGACUGUCCUAUGGGUUGUAAACUUCUUUUAUAUGGGAAUAAAACGUUCCACGCGUGGGCUUUUGUAUGUACCUUAUGAAUAAGGAUCGGCUAACUCCGUGCCAGCAGCCGCGGUAAUACGGAGGAUCCGAGCGUUAUCCGGAUUUAUUGGGUUUAAAGGGUGCGUAGGUGGAUGGUUAAGUCAGUUGUGAAAGUUUGCGGCUCAACCGUAAAAUGGCAGUGGAAACGGGCGGGCUGGAGUUGGAGAGAAGUACGCGGAAGGCGCGGUGUAGCGGUGAAAUGCUUAGAUAUCGCGCAGAACCCCGAUUGCGAAGGCAGCGUGCCGGCUCCACACUGACGCUGAGGCACGAAAGCGUGGGUAUCGAACAGGAUUAGAUACCCCAGUAGUC